UGAGAAGUGAACUACCUUAAAAUACAGUAGGGUAAACAAAUGACUGGCUUACUCACUGGCUCAAGGAUCUGUAAGUUGGGCGGGGCGUGGCCAGGCAGCACUGGGACUCCGUGAUUGGCUAGAGGCUCUGCGUGGCUGAUUAUGACUGUUGUGGAGAGCUGGCUGGUGAUGGCUUUUGGUUAAAAGUUCAGCAGAGCAGAGGGCCAAGCCUUCCUCUCUCCUGCCGUGUGACUUCUCCAAUGUGACAGGACGAGCUUCUUAUAGCACGGGCAGUGUAAGCUACAUUCUUUGUGGGGUAAUUAGAACCUUUAGAGAAUUAAAAAGAAAACGAA
RNAcentral lists this long non-coding RNA (332 nucleotides) under Fukomys damarensis (Damara mole-rat). RNAcentral describes it as "lncRNA (ENSFDAG00000026304.1)". Lineage: Eukaryota; Metazoa; Chordata; Mammalia; Rodentia; Bathyergidae. The record is from RNAcentral.